This 74-nucleotide transfer RNA is filed under the name Candidatus Agrococcus pullicola. RNAcentral's name for it is "tRNA-Gly". It matches the Rfam family "tRNA". From Rfam's summary of the family: Transfer RNA (tRNA) molecules are approximately 80 nucleotides in length. Their secondary structure includes four short double-helical elements and three loops (D, anti-codon, and T loops). Further hydrogen bonds mediate the characteristic L-shaped molecular structure. tRNAs have two regions of fundamental functional importance: the anti-codon, which is responsible for specific mRNA codon recognition, and the 3' end, to which the tRNAs corresponding amino acid is attached (by aminoacyl-tRNA synthetases). tRNAs cope with the degeneracy of the genetic code in two manners: having more than one tRNA (with a specific anti-codon) for a particular amino acid; and 'wobble' base-pairing, i.e. permitting non-standard base-pairing at the 3rd anti-codon position. The record is from RNAcentral. Lineage: Bacteria; Bacillati; Actinomycetota; Actinomycetes; Micrococcales; Microbacteriaceae.
GCGGGUGUAGUUCAAUGGUAGAACUGCUGCUUCCCAAGCAGCCGGCGCGGGUUCGAUUCCCGUCACCCGCUCCA